RNAcentral lists this transfer RNA (89 nucleotides) under Verrucomicrobiales bacterium. RNAcentral's name for it is "tRNA-Leu". It matches the Rfam family "tRNA". From Rfam's summary of the family: Transfer RNA (tRNA) molecules are approximately 80 nucleotides in length. Their secondary structure includes four short double-helical elements and three loops (D, anti-codon, and T loops). The record is from RNAcentral. Lineage: Bacteria; Pseudomonadati; Verrucomicrobiota; Verrucomicrobiia; Verrucomicrobiales.
GCCGGUGUGGUGGAAUUGGCAGACACAAGGGACUUAAAAUCCCUCGAUCAGUGAUGGUCAUGUGGGUUCGAGUCCCACCACCGGUACCA